RNAcentral lists this small nucleolar RNA (120 nucleotides) under Echinops telfairi (small Madagascar hedgehog). RNAcentral describes it as "Small nucleolar RNA SNORA61 (ENSETEG00000024690.1)". Lineage: Eukaryota; Metazoa; Chordata; Mammalia; Afrosoricida; Tenrecidae. The record is from RNAcentral.
ACCCUCAGGUUCCUUACCCAUCAGCCCUAAACACCGGGCUGAGUGGUUAUGAAAGGAGGGACAGCCAAAUGGAAACCGACUGAAAUCCUUUUGUGACACACAAGUUAGUUUCAAACAAAC